This 484-nucleotide ribosomal RNA is filed under the name uncultured bacterium. Its description in RNAcentral is "partial 16S ribosomal RNA". It matches the Rfam family "Bacterial small subunit ribosomal RNA", at positions 29 to 507 of the family's 1533-position model. The record is from RNAcentral.
AUUGAACGCUGGCGGCAUGCUUUACACAUGCCAGUCGAACGGCAGCGCGGGCUUCGGCCUGGCGGCGAGUGGCGAACGGGUGAGUAAUACAUCGGAACGUGCCCAGUAGUGGGGGAUAGCUCGGCGAAAGCCGGAUUAAUACCGCAUACGACCUGAGGGUGAAAGCGGGGGAUCUUCGGACCUCGCGCUAUUGGAGCGGCCGAUGGCAGAUUAGCUAGUUGGUGGGGUAAAGGCCUACCAAGGCGACGAUCUGUAGCUGGUCUGAGAGGACGACCAGCCACACUGGGACUGAGACACGGCCCAGACUCCUACGGGAGGCAGCAGUGGGGAUUUUUGGACAAUGGGCGAAAGCCUGAUCCAGCAAUGCCGCGUGUGUGAUGAAGGCCUUCGGGUUGUAAAGCACUUUUGGCGGGAACGAAAAGGACUGUGCCAAUACCACGGUUCGAUGACGGUACCCGCAGAAUAAGCACCGGCUAACUACGUG